Molecule: long non-coding RNA, 582 nt
Organism: Bombus pascuorum
Lineage: Eukaryota; Metazoa; Arthropoda; Insecta; Hymenoptera; Apidae
Exons: 2
Source: RefSeq, a predicted model, not a curated record
AAAAAAAGGACUUACACCUGUGUUGGUUCUCCUGAAGCUUGUAUUUGUCUAAAUGUUUCAUUAUCCAGACCACUAUAAAUACCAUUAUUAUUUAUAAUGAUGACAAUAAUUGUUAUCUACCUAAACAUUGUUUCAAUUUCCAUGCCAGAAAACCCAAAUGCACUGUCUCCUUCUACACAAAUAACUCUUUUUGUGGGAGCAUUUUUUUUACAAUAAAGGGCGGCUGCUAUAGCAAACCCCAAACCGACGCCCAUUGUACCAAAGGUAGCAGCAUCUAGUCUGUGACGGGGUUGAUUAUUUAAUAAAAUCGUUUUUCCUAUGUCCAUUGUAUUAGCUCCUUCUGAGCAAAUAAUACAAUCUACAAGAAGAAACUAAAUAUUUGUAUUACUUAUUUCCAUAAUUAUCAUUAUAAAAUAUCGUUUAAUUUAAAUGAGAAAUGUUAUUAACCAGAUGGAAUUGUAUCUUGAAUAUGUUUAAAAACGGCAUAAUAAUUUAACGGUACCGAAACAUCCAUUGACAUUUUCUGUAAAAUAAGUAAAAAAUAUUAAUAAUAAAAACAAAAUAUGUUAUUUCUCAAACUAA